This 253-nucleotide ribosomal RNA is filed under the name uncultured bacterium. RNAcentral's name for it is "partial 16S ribosomal RNA". It matches the Rfam family "Bacterial small subunit ribosomal RNA", at positions 524 to 776 of the family's 1533-position model. The record is from RNAcentral.
UACGGAGGGUGCAAGCGUUAAUCGGAAUUACUGGGCGUAAAGCGUGCGCAGGCGGUUUGUUAAGUCUGCUGUGAAAUCCCCGAGCUCAACUUGGGAAUUGCAGUGGAUACUGGCAGGCUGGAGUACGGUAGAGGAAGGUGGAAUUCCCGGUGUAGCAGUGAAAUGCGUAGAGAUCGGGAGGAACACCAGUGGCGAAGGCGAUCACCUGGGGUUGUUCUGACGCUGAGGAGCGAAAGCUAGGGGAGCAAACGGG